UAACGCGUGGAUAACCUGCCGUAUACAGGGGGAUAACACUUAGAAAUAGGUGCUAAUACCGCAUAAGCGCACAGCUUUGCAUGAAGCAGUGUGAAAAGCAAAAAGUUAAAACUUUUAGCGGUAUACGAUGGAUCCGCGUCUGAUUAGCCAGUUGGCGGGGUAACGGCCCACCAAAGCGACGAUCAGUAGCCGGCCUGAGAGGGCGGACGGCCACAUUGGGACUGAGACACGGCCCAGACUCCUACGGGAGGCAGCAG
This 257-nucleotide ribosomal RNA is filed under the name uncultured bacterium. RNAcentral describes it as "partial 16S ribosomal RNA". It matches the Rfam family "Bacterial small subunit ribosomal RNA", at positions 111 to 354 of the family's 1533-position model. The record is from RNAcentral.